Molecule: unclassified non-coding RNA, 251 nt
Filed under: plant metagenome
Description: partial contains small subunit ribosomal RNA, internal transcribed spacer 1, and 5.8S ribosomal RNA
Rfam family: 5.8S ribosomal RNA (bases 203-251)
Source: RNAcentral
UCUCCGUUGGUGAACCAGCGGAGGGAUCAUUACAGAGUUGCAAAACUCCCAAACCAUUGUGAACGUUACCUAUCCCGUUGCUUCGGCGGGCGGCCCGGGCCCCGCGCCCGGCGCCCCCCGGCCCCCCGUGGGCGCCCGCCGGAGGUAAACCAAACCCUUGAAUUGCAUGGCCUCUCUGAGUCUUCUGUACUGAAUAAGUCAAAACUUUCAACAACGGAUCUCUUGGUUCUGCCAUCGAUGAAGAACGCAGC